Eubalaena glacialis (North Atlantic right whale) is the source of this 1685-nucleotide long non-coding RNA. RefSeq lists it as uncharacterized. The transcript has 4 exons. The record is from RefSeq and is a predicted model, not a curated record. Lineage: Eukaryota; Metazoa; Chordata; Mammalia; Artiodactyla; Balaenidae.
GCGGAGGUUCUGCUGCCUGUGCGUCAACGGGCGAGGGGACGGCGCGGAAUGCCGCCGCGGGAGGGAGGUCUGCAGUCGUCCCUCGGAGCCGGCCUCCUGGCCUGUCCCUUUGUCUCCUCCAUACAGACCUUUGGAUUCCAAUUCCACCGACUCCAAGAAGUUGGGUCAGACCCUGUUGAAGUUUUACAAUAACCCGGCCGGUCCGACGGGGUCUCAUCCAGGCGGUGGGGCAGAGAGAGACAAGAGAGACACAGGACCCCGGUGAAGGGUCCCCAGGCUUGUCGGGGAAAAGACUGGACACAGGGACUAGAGGACGAGAUGGAACAAUGCUAAUAGCAUCUACGAACUUAGUGAAGUGUUACUGGUCCUUACUUCAGAGUAGAGAAUGUCGUGAAGACAAGAGGACCCACCUAGUUCUGCAUAUCCUGCCAUGAAGAGCAGAGCGAGAAGCUUUUUUGUUGGCUGCCACCAUCUCUCUUGGAAUCUGAAUUUAGCUUCGGGAGCUUACCUAUCGUUACAACACUGAAUUACCCUCUUGUAAGACCUUGGACAAGUCCUCUAAUGCCUUGAUAUCUCAGAUUUUUUUCAAUUCUCCCUGAAGAUAAGAAUAGUAUCCACCUCAUAGCGGUGGUGUGGGAACUCCAUGAGACGACGCACGAGAAGCCCCUCACACAGUCUCUGGGGCCACCGCAGACAGCGAACAGGUGAGACCUGCUAUUGUCGCCACGACCUCAAGAAAUGAUAGCUGAGGCAAAGCUGAACUAGACUGUCAUUCAGGGCUCUUAGUUGCAAGCAACAGAAGCUGACUUUGGCUUAUAGAGUAGGAAAGGAAAUUUUAAAAUGACACUGGGUAGCUCACGGUUACCCAGUUGUUGGGAGGGCUGGAGAGCUCAGUCUAAGCUUCCAGUGACAAAGCUCCAAGCCCACCAUGCCACCCCUGCCACUGGUCUUGUGGCAGCCCACAACAGCUUGCGGCACCAAGGCCAUUACUGUGGCAGGAACCUAACCCUAUACCCGCUACGCCCCCGAAGCCAGACUCCUCUGCUGCUGCCUUUGCCAGCAAAGUGGAAUUUUCCCAGAGCCUCUGAAUUGAAGUCUUGUGUGGGACAGGAGGACUCCCGGUGAUUUAUUAAGAAGGUGAAAUUAUGUGCCCAGUUGGGAACUCUGGGGAGCUCUCGCUGAAAUUAACUUGAGUGUUUUGGAGCCAGAUUGACAUGGCAGAAUGGACCUGGGACUGCUCCUUUUGGCAGAAGCUGCUGGGCCACUGUGGAUGAUCUUUCCCAUGUUGCACAAUGUCCCCAAAGCCCUUGGAGCCAUGCUCAGCCCCAUCCUGGCAUCCCCUGUGUCCCUCGUGCCUCUGCCAUGGAGGUCCAGCCACUUUACUUGGCUGUGGGUCUCAUCAACUUGCAGAAAGAACGUGUGCACAAAUAAAAAAUGGAAAAUGUAGAAACGUAUGAAGACAAAAGAACCACCAAGACAAAUAAACCAAACCCAGGGUCAUCAGCAAUUCCUCCUUGCCAAGAUAAAAUGUGAACAUUUUAGUUCCUUUCUUUUCCAUCUUGUUCUUUGUGUGUGUCCACGCAUUCACACACACACACACACAUGUAAAAUGGGGAUUACAUUGUAUAUUUUUUGUUUCCAGCUUUUUCCACUUAGCCAUAUAGUGUUAACAUUUCACCACAUCA